Molecule: long non-coding RNA, 649 nt
Organism: Mustela erminea (ermine)
Lineage: Eukaryota; Metazoa; Chordata; Mammalia; Carnivora; Mustelidae
Exons: 4
Source: RefSeq, a predicted model, not a curated record
CAGGCGGCAAGGGAGUCUGGGAAGUCCAGCUCUGCAAGCUCCUGCCCAUGAAGUACCAAAGAGGGUAGAGAAAAAUGAAGGAGGAGCCAAGAGACAACACACUCCAGCACACGUCUCGUUGUCUUCCCUCUCCUUGAUAAUCUGCUUUAUUUCCUGAAGCUUGUCCACAAUCAAGCCGGUGAAGGAGAGAGUGAAUUAAACUGAGAGAAAGAAGAGGAUAUAAGAUGGUGGCAACAACAACAACAAAAUCCAAUUAAAAUGGUGGGAUUCAUGGAAUGGGGGUUAGGUUCAGCUUGCUACUUAUUUCAAGAUCUAUUUAUCCUAGGAGAAUUUCAAAUGCCCUGAAGUCUCAUGGUUAUCAUGGUAUGACACUGAUAUGUUGUCGUAUGGCUGGUGGUGGCUGUGAGCGCAUCGCCCGGAAACUGAUAAGCCGGAAGGCUACAGAAGUUUCAAGGAAGUAAGUCCGAAGUCUUGCAAAGAAGGCGGCUAUCAGGCCUGGAUCUCUCCUCGUGGCAGCUGUAGGAAACACAGGAACUCUGUGACCUGGAAAAUGUGGGACAACUGCCACAAGGUGACCCUGGAAGGCUGGGGUUGAUUGCCUGCUUGGAUCACCCCGCCUUUCCUCCACUGCCCUGCACACCAUCAGAAG